RNAcentral lists this ribosomal RNA (421 nucleotides) under uncultured bacterium. Its description in RNAcentral is "partial 16S ribosomal RNA". It matches the Rfam family "Bacterial small subunit ribosomal RNA", at positions 361 to 774 of the family's 1533-position model. The record is from RNAcentral.
AUAUUGGACAAUGGGGGCAACCCUGAUCUAGCAAUGCCGCGUGUGUGAAGAAGGUCUUNGGCUUGNANAGUACCUUACGCUGGAANGAAGGGCUUUAGGCUAAUACCCUGAAGUUUUGACGUUACCAACAGAAUAAGCAUCGGCUAAUUCUGUGCCAGCAGCCGCGGUAAUACAGAGGGUGCAAGCGUUAAUCGGAAUUACUGCGCGUAAAGCGCGCGUAAGUGGUUCAGUAAGAUAAGUGUGAAAUCCCCGGGCUUAACCUGGGAACUGCUUUCAUAACUGCUAAGCUAGAGUACGGUAGAGGGUGGUGGAAUUUCCUGUGUAGCGGUGAAAUGCGUAGAUAUAGGAAGAAACACCAGUGGCGAAGGUGACUACCUGGACUGAUACUGACACUGAGGUGCGAAAGCGUGGGGAGCAAACA